CUCCCCUGGCAAUGGGCAAAGAGACAUCUUGUUGGUGAUGUUGUUCUCAGUCAGGGGCAGAGCAGAUGGCAGUCCUUCAUCCAUCUUAGCUUGAUGCCUGGCUUGGUAGCCAAAGCUGGCUUCUGGCUAGGACUCAUAG
This is a small nucleolar RNA of Acomys russatus (golden spiny mouse), 139 nucleotides long. RefSeq annotates it as small nucleolar RNA SNORA48. NCBI's taxonomy places the organism in Eukaryota, Metazoa, Chordata, Mammalia, Rodentia, Muridae. The transcript has a single exon. The record is from RefSeq and is a predicted model, not a curated record.